Molecule: long non-coding RNA, 250 nt
Filed under: Vigna radiata
Lineage: Eukaryota; Viridiplantae; Streptophyta; Magnoliopsida; Fabales; Fabaceae
Description: long non-coding RNA (VRAD_LNC003716)
Source: RNAcentral
UGUUGGUCUUAGGUGAUGAAAGUAUUGCAAAUAUAAUUUGACAAUCAAAUUAACAUUGUGUCCAUAGUUUGUUCUCAUAUAGACAAAUACAAUUUGUUAGUCAAAAAGUCAAGAUUGAUAAAUUAUGUUGAGAAGGUAAGACUGAAAAGUUGGAUCGAGAAAACUCAACCUAGAAGUUGGACUAUAAAGAUAAAGGGUUAAAUAUGUUUUUAGUCACUAUACUUUGAGGCGAUUUUGGUUUUAGUCCCUC